Gadus macrocephalus (Pacific cod) is the source of this 101-nucleotide long non-coding RNA. RefSeq lists it as uncharacterized. The transcript is spliced from 3 exons. The record is from RefSeq and is a predicted model, not a curated record. Lineage: Eukaryota; Metazoa; Chordata; Actinopteri; Gadiformes; Gadidae.
UCGCCCAAGUUAGUCCGCAUGAUAAAAGAAACAUUUACAUCAACCAGCGCAGAGUAAAGCAGAGUGGAGGUAGGUCCCCCCCCCCAGAUGGAGGUAGUGCC